Molecule: ribosomal RNA, 448 nt
Filed under: uncultured bacterium
Lineage: Bacteria
Description: bacterial SSU rRNA
Rfam family: Bacterial small subunit ribosomal RNA
Source: RNAcentral
CGCCAGACUCCUACGGGAGGCAGCAGUAGGGAAUUUUGCGCAAUGGGCGAAAGCCUGACGCAGCAACGCCGCGUGAUUGAUUAAGCCCUUCGGGGUGUAAAGAUCUGUCAGUGGGGACGAAACUUGGCGGUACCCACAGAGGAAGCACCGGCUAACUCCGUGCCAGCAGCCGCGGUAAUACGGAGGGUGCAAGCGUUGUCCGGAAUCAUUGGGCGUAAAGAGUUCGUAGGUGGCAUAUUAAGUCUGGUGUUAAAUGCAGAAGCUCAACUUCUGUUCGGCACUGGAUACUGGUAAGCUUGAAUGCGGUAGAGGUAAAGGGAAUUCCUGGUGUAGCGGUGAAAUGCGUAGAUAUCAGGAGGAACACCAGUGGCGAAGGCGGCUUACUGGACUGUAACUGACGUUGAGGCUCGAAAGCGUGGGGAGCAAACAGGAUUAGAUACCCUCGUAC